RNAcentral lists this small RNA (1165 nucleotides) under Arabidopsis thaliana (thale cress). Lineage: Eukaryota; Viridiplantae; Streptophyta; Magnoliopsida; Brassicales; Brassicaceae. The record is from RNAcentral.
UUCUAUAGUUUUUUUUCCUUCUCCAAAUUUUGAUUUUAAUAUAAUUUUUCGAGCCUUUUCGUUAUAUUUGCUAUAUUACGGGGCCAAAAUUAUAUGUUCGGACAUUAUUUUCGAAUAUUUUGCAUGUAUCAAAGCUCUUAUAAACAAGAUAGGGUAUUCCUACACAGCUGGUGGGACCCACGGUAAAUGGAUCAUAAAGUCUUCAAAAAAAAAAUAGAUACAAUUGCAUUGCAUGUAGUAACGGAUGCGAUCAUACCAGCACUAAUGCACCAGAUCCCAUCAGAACUCCGUAGUUAAGCGUGCUUGGGCGAGAGUAGUACUAGGAUGGGUGACCUCAUGGAAAGUCCUCGUGUUUUAUCCCUUUUUUUCGGUUUUUCUCUUUUUUUUAUGUCAAAAAUGUAUGACUCUAGAACUUUUAGACCGUGAGGCCAAACUUGGCAUGUGAUACUUUUUCGGAAAGGACAAAGAGAGCUCUCCGAUGAAUUAGGAAGGAAAAUGGAAUUCUUCUAUAGUUUUUUUUUCUACUCCAAAGUUUGACCUUAAUGUACUUUUUCAGGCCUUUUCGUAAUCUUUGCUAUAUUACGGGGCAAAAAUUAUAUGUACGGACAUUGUUUUCGUAUAUUUUGCAUGUAUCAAAGCUCUUAUAAACAAGAUAGGGUAUUCCUACAUAGCUGGUGGGACUCACGGCAAAUCGAUCAUAAAGUCUUCAAAAAAGAAUAGAUACGAUUGCAUUGCAUGUAGUUACAGAUGUGAUCAUACCAGCACUAAUGCAUCAGAUCCCAUCAGAACUCUGCAAUUAAGCGUGCUUGGACGAGAGUAGUACUAGGAUGGGUGACCUCCAGGAAAGUCCUCGUGUGUCAUCCCUCUUUUUGUUUUGUUAAACAUGUAUGACUCUAUAACUUUAAGACCGUGAGGCCAAACUUGACAUGUGAUACCUUUUCGGAAAGCCCAAAGAGAGCUCUCCGAUGAAUGAGGAAGGAAAAUGGAAUUCUUCUAUUGGUUUUUUUUCUUACUCCAAAUUUUGAUUUUAAUGUACUUUUUCGAGCCUUUUCGUGAUUUUUGCUAUAUUACGGGCGAAAAUUAUAUGUUCGGACAUUGUUUUCGAAUAUUUUGCAUGUAUCAAAGCUCUUAUAAACAAGAUAAGGUAUUCCUACAUAGUUGGUGA